RNAcentral lists this transfer RNA (74 nucleotides) under Polyangiaceae bacterium. RNAcentral's name for it is "tRNA-Glu". It matches the Rfam family "tRNA". Rfam says of the family: Transfer RNA (tRNA) molecules are approximately 80 nucleotides in length. Their secondary structure includes four short double-helical elements and three loops (D, anti-codon, and T loops). Further hydrogen bonds mediate the characteristic L-shaped molecular structure. tRNAs have two regions of fundamental functional importance: the anti-codon, which is responsible for specific mRNA codon recognition, and the 3' end, to which the tRNAs corresponding amino acid is attached (by aminoacyl-tRNA synthetases). tRNAs cope with the degeneracy of the genetic code in two manners: having more than one tRNA (with a specific anti-codon) for a particular amino acid; and 'wobble' base-pairing, i.e. permitting non-standard base-pairing at the 3rd anti-codon position. The record is from RNAcentral. Lineage: Bacteria; Pseudomonadati; Myxococcota; Polyangiales; Polyangiaceae.
GUCGCGUUCUUCUAGUUGGUUCAGGAUGCUGGAACUUCACUCCGGCGACGCGGGUUCAAAUCCCGCACGCGUCA